AGGGAAAGACACAUUCCCAGGCUCUCAGAGGGCAGGGACAUUUUAUACAGCAUUGGAUUCCAUCAUCUUGCUUUUAUUUGACUUGAAAAGACCUUAAUUUUUAGAAAAUUUGAAAUUUAAAGCUGUCUGGUCGCUAAAAGCUCCUUUAAACUCUUAUUGUGGUUUGGAGCCAUACAUCAUCAAAGCUGUGAUCCUGAGAUGAUGUGCUGCACCCGUAUAUCAUGGGAGCACUGUCCGUCUCAUGAUAUAUUAUUGUAGCUCACAACUGGAGCACCACCAUUGAUAUAUGGCUUAAAAACACAAUUGUUAAGGCAAAAAACUCGACGGGGUCUCCACAAAUUCUGGGAGUUUUAUUUUGUUUUGUUUUUUAACUGAACUGGCUUUUAGCUUUUAUUUUUUUCUUAAAGUCUCUCAACUUAACUGGGCCAGUCUGGGCAGAGGAACAACACUGUGUUUCUUCUGUUUCAUGAAAGGCAUACCAGUUGCUUGAACAUGGCUGAUAUUCUAAAGGACGGAACACUUUGACAGGAGGGUCAGAAACCGUCACUGUGCCUGUGCCUUUUGACAGACCACUAAUUUUGUUCUUGAAUUGACCGUGUCAAGGUGUCCUCAAAGCCCCGUGCGCAGGAGUACUCCAGUGACAUUUAUUUUGGAACUACAAAACCCUACUUCCCAAAGCAAUGAUAGGACAGCUUCAAGUUUUUAAGACUGUUCGGUGAGAAGAAAGUCAAAUGUAUCAUCACUGCCAUUUAGAAAGUUGACAAACUCGAGCAAGAUUUAUAAAACCACAAUAAACCCAUGUAAAUCUGGUCAUUUUUCUGGCAGGAGGGCAUACUCAUGCAACAAGACAGGUGGAAUUCCAGUGACAACUGGAUUAACCAGAGAGGAAAAAAAAAAA
This is a long non-coding RNA of Callorhinus ursinus (northern fur seal), 898 nucleotides long. RefSeq lists it as uncharacterized. The record is from RefSeq and is a predicted model, not a curated record. NCBI's taxonomy places the organism in Eukaryota, Metazoa, Chordata, Mammalia, Carnivora, Otariidae.